Molecule: transfer RNA, 83 nt
Filed under: Phycisphaerales bacterium
Lineage: Bacteria; Pseudomonadati; Planctomycetota; Phycisphaerae; Phycisphaerales
Description: tRNA-Tyr
Rfam family: tRNA
About the family: Transfer RNA (tRNA) molecules are approximately 80 nucleotides in length. Their secondary structure includes four short double-helical elements and three loops (D, anti-codon, and T loops). Further hydrogen bonds mediate the characteristic L-shaped molecular structure. tRNAs have two regions of fundamental functional importance: the anti-codon, which is responsible for specific mRNA codon recognition, and the 3' end, to which the tRNAs corresponding amino acid is attached (by aminoacyl-tRNA synthetases). tRNAs cope with the degeneracy of the genetic code in two manners: having more than one tRNA (with a specific anti-codon) for a particular amino acid; and 'wobble' base-pairing, i.e. permitting non-standard base-pairing at the 3rd anti-codon position.
Source: RNAcentral
GGGCGUAUACCGAAGUGGACAAACGGGACAGACUGUAAAUCUGUUGGCUACCGCCUUCCCUGGUUCGAAUCCAGGUGCGCCCA